Molecule: ribosomal RNA, 253 nt
Filed under: uncultured bacterium
Lineage: Bacteria
Description: partial 16S ribosomal RNA
Rfam family: Bacterial small subunit ribosomal RNA
Source: RNAcentral
UACGUAGGGACCGAGCGUUGUCCGGAAUCAUUGGGCGUAAGGAGCGUGUAGGCGGCCACUUAAGUCCUGCGUGAAAUCUUGCGGCUCAACCGCAAGCGGUCGUGGGAAACUGGGUGGCUAGAGUGCGGGAGAGGAGAGUGGAAUUCCUGGUGUAGCGGUGGAAUGCGCAGAUAUCAGGAAGAACACCCGUGGCGAAGGCGGCUCUCUGGAACGCAACUGACGCUGAGACGCGAAAGCGUGGGGAGCAAACAGG